Long non-coding RNA from Xiphophorus couchianus (Monterrey platyfish), 313 nucleotides. RefSeq lists it as uncharacterized. The transcript has 3 exons. The record is from RefSeq and is a predicted model, not a curated record. NCBI's taxonomy places the organism in Eukaryota, Metazoa, Chordata, Actinopteri, Cyprinodontiformes, Poeciliidae.
GACAAGCUCCGCCCACCUCCUCCACUCAAACCAACAAGUCUAACCGUUGCGUGGACGCGAUUUUUCUCCUGCUUGAACAACUGUGGAACCAUGUUGAUUAAAACAAGACUUGGCGAGCGGCAGAAAUUUGUCCGACUAACAGAACCGAAUCUGAAGGAGUUUUUGAUAGCAGCAUUUGCAAAAUUUGGCGUGCCAGCUAUAACAGAGGGCGUGAAGGUUCUUGACUGUUCUGGGACUGAGUUGGAUGAAGAUGUGUUUGAGGAUGUUGUUAAGGAUCCCUCAGCUGGAGUCCUAACCAUCAAAUAUGAAACUG